GCAUCGGUGGUUCAGUGGUAGGCUCGCCUGCCACGCGGGCGGCCCGGGUUCGAUUCCCGGUUGAUGCA
RNAcentral lists this transfer RNA (68 nucleotides) under Cordylochernes scorpioides. Its description in RNAcentral is "tRNA-Gly". It matches the Rfam family "tRNA". Rfam says of the family: Transfer RNA (tRNA) molecules are approximately 80 nucleotides in length. Lineage: Eukaryota; Metazoa; Arthropoda; Arachnida; Pseudoscorpiones; Chernetidae. The record is from RNAcentral.